Molecule: ribosomal RNA, 592 nt
Filed under: uncultured fungus
Lineage: Eukaryota; Fungi
Description: eukaryotic LSU rRNA
Rfam family: Eukaryotic large subunit ribosomal RNA
Source: RNAcentral
AUAUCAAUAAGCGGAGGAAAAGAAACCAACAGGGAUUGCCUCAGUAACGGCGAGUGAAGCGGCAAAAGCUCAAAUUUGAAAUCUGGCUUCUUUGGAGCCCGAGUUGUAAUUUGUAGAGGACGUUUCGGGUACCGCAACGGCUUAAAUUUCUUGGAACAGAAUGUCAGAGAGGGUGAGAAUCCCGUCUGGAGUCGCGGUAGGGCCCAUGUGAAACUCCCUCGACGAGUCGAGUUGUUUGGGAAUGCAGCUCAAAAUGGGUGGUAAAUUUCAUCUAAAGCUAAAUAUUGGCCAGAGACCGAUAGCGCACAAGUAGAGUGAUCGAAAGAUGAAAAGCACUUUGAAAAGAGAGUUAAACAGUAUGUGAAAUUGUUGAAAGGGAAGCGCUGGCAACCAGACUCGUGUGCGGCGGUUCCCCCUCGCUUCUGCGUGGGUUACUCCGUCGUAUCCGGGCCAACAUCGGUUUGGGCGGCCGGUUAAAGGCCCCGGGAAUGUAUCUUCCUCCGGGAAGACUUAUAGCCCGGGGUGUCAUGCGGCCUGCCGGGACCGAGGAACGCGCUUCGUGCUCGGAUGUUGGCGUAAUGGUUGUCAGCGA